This 253-nucleotide ribosomal RNA is filed under the name uncultured bacterium. Its description in RNAcentral is "partial 16S ribosomal RNA". It matches the Rfam family "Bacterial small subunit ribosomal RNA", at positions 524 to 776 of the family's 1533-position model. The record is from RNAcentral.
AACGUAGGAGACAACCGUUAUCCGGAGUUACUGGGCGUAAAGGGCGUGCAGGCGGUCGACUAAGUCUGGCGUGAAAGCUCUCGGCUAAACCGGGAGAGGUCGUUGGAUACUGGUUGACUAGAGGACGGUAGAGGCGUGUGGAAUUCCGGGUGUAGUGGUGAAAUGCGUAGAGAUCCGGAGGAACACCAGUGGCGAAGGCGACACGCUGGGCCGUACCUGACGCUGAUACGCGACAGCAGGGGGAGCGAACGGG